This is a long non-coding RNA of Meleagris gallopavo (turkey), 4744 nucleotides long. The record is from Ensembl. NCBI's taxonomy places the organism in Eukaryota, Metazoa, Chordata, Aves, Galliformes, Phasianidae.
AUUCCAAAAUUAGAUCGUCACAUUUCCUCAUGAAGCUUCUGGUGCAAGGAGGCAUUUGAGGUUUUGCAGUCUGAAGGUGCCUGUUCCAGUAGAUGACCCGUGCUGUCAUGCACACUAUCCCAAACCAGUUGGACAGUGGCAAACUUUAAAAAGUCAAUGCAUGUCUUAACUACUGUCCUGUGCCCCUCAGUUUGUGCAUUCUGACACUUGCUUGAUGUUGCUGAGUACUACUGGCUUAAGAUACCAUUUAAUCCAUGACUUGCACGCUGCAUUCUUGUUUGAACUAAUAGCUGUUAAACUAAAAAAGUUAUUUUAAGAAUGGGCUUGUCAAAGAGAGUGUAUCUUCUCUCUUCAAAGACCUCUGAGAUUUUUUUUGAUUAAAAUGUGACUGCAGCAUUAAAAUGGAUGCCCUAUGUCUUUUCAUAAAUGGAUGACUAAUGAAGUUGUGGACUGUCUAGGUUUUAAUUGGCAGAUUGAGUGCUUCAUGGGGAAUUGUAGGAGAGGUGAGGAGUUAGUUGAUUUUUAGAUAAAUUUGUUACUGCUUUUAUUUCUAGUGAUGGCUUGAAGUUGAUUAAAUCCCCGAAUAGAUCCACAGAUGCAUUUUUAAAUUCUCUUCUGCGAAAUGUGAAAGAUGGUAUGCUUAAAAACAUGUAGUAAAACCCCGGGCUUGAGGUGGGCGGCCCCACAUGAAAAACAGGAUGUUAGGCUUGUGGUUAUCUCAGCUGUGGCUAUGCUCAUGACCUGUACAGCUGCUGCACCAGCCUUUUCCUCUAUUUGUCUGCUUAUUUCUUCAUGAGCUCCAGUGAAUGACUGCUAAUAAAAUCUGAUCUCAAAAGGGUUUGGAGUCCAAAUGCCUGCCUGUUGUUAUAUUCUGAUGGAUCAUAAGUACAGCCAAAUCUAUAGAUGUGCUUAUAUUCUCUAUGGAAGAUUCUAGGACAGUGCAGGGAGGAAAAAGAGUGGAUAGACAUACUGUGAACUUACCCUAAUGCACUACUGGAACUCUUCAGUGCUGUAUCAGUCUACGGGAAAAGACCGUGGCAUCAGGGCAUUAGAACAGAGAAAGAAGCAUUGUAAAUACCGACAGUAUAUGUCUGAACUUCUUACUCCUCCUUAUGGUGUUAUGGAAACUGGCUCCAACAAUGACAGAAUGCCAGAUAAGGACAGUAUGUCAAGCGGUGCUCUUUGCCAAGUUUCUAAAAACUGUAAUAAGGUAAACAGAUCUUAUUUUUGCCUUUGGAUUUUGAUGUGAGGCUUUUGGUAAUGGCAUUGAGAAGUCCAAGGUAAAAAUGCAAAGCAUGUGGCUGAUGCGUGUGAUUACAAUAUACAACUUAUAAGGAUGUUUUAGAUGUAUUAUAAAACUGGAGAAAGCAAAAGGAACAUCUGUGGAAGUUUGUGUCACAUUCUGAUUGUCAUCUGCCUGUAAAGAAGGUAGGUGCUGAAGGCAAGGAAGAAAGACAUCUUGGUGAUAAGACCAGAACAUAGCUAUGAUAUUUUAUUAUGAUAAUAAAAUUCAUAGUUAAGUUCUGUUUUGAGGCUAUACUGAGUCUAACAUGGACACAGUUCAAGCCCUUUGCACAGGGUGAAUCUUCUACUGUAUUAGGAGUGCAGCUGUAUUUCCCAGUUCCCCUUUAUAAACAGUUCUGUGCCUUUGGUCUCACCAGAUCAGGACUCCCAUGAAAGAACUUGUGAAUAUUACUGUGCUGACAUUCUGUAAUUAUACUAGUGGGAAGAAACAGUAUUGGACAUUGCUGUGAAGAUUGUUAACUUUUAGGGUUUAUUUUAUAGAGAGAGUAGGAAGGUUAUAGUAAUACACAGUUCCUUGGAUGCCUCCUUUCUGGAUAAAAGGAGUUUAAUUGGAUGCAUUUGUGUGAUGUCUAUAAAAGGUAAAAGGAUUUUUUUUGUCAUAUAAAACGUCUCUCUUGACAGCAGAUAAAGACAAUAUUUUAUCAUGUUUCCCUCAUGUGAAAAUAACUACUUCCACCUCUGUCUGUCUGUCCUACUUCCUUGAGGGUACUGACCUUUCUUGUCAUAUUUAGCCUUUAAUAAAUGUAUAAAUGAAACAGUAUGCAGUUCCUUUUGCUUGUCUUAUUCACUAAUGUUCUACUGCUUCCUGACACAACCUUACCCUUUAUGAAAAUAAGUAUUCUUCCAUGUUUUAAGUAAUAAUUCAUAGAUACUUUUGUAUCUCUUACUCUGUAAGCAUCUUACAAAGAUUUGAAAUGUCAGUGUCGUAUAGGAGUACUUGCAACGCUGUACAUGAGAGUUAAGACCCCUCAACAAAAGCAUCAAGUGUAGUAUCCAAACUGAAAGAUGUGUUAUUUUCUGAAGCAGGUAGAGCUAACAAGUUAAAUACAUCCUAGUCCUUCCUAGGUGGUAUUCCCCAAGUAAUGGGCAGUAAUAUUUGGCUAAGGAGCAUAUGGACUUUCAGGGUCAGAAUAUUUUAGAAACUGAGCAAAGUAUUGUGAUUAUCACUGCUGCUGAUAGCUGUGCUUUUCAGGCAGAAGUGGACUCUUCGCGUACAAAGUAAUGCUCAAUUGUAUUGGAGACAGAACUUGACUGGGGCACCUUAAAUUGUUCAAUCUCUUUUACAGGAAUAAGGUAGCUUCUCUUCCCAGACACAUAAAACAGCCAUCCUUCUCCCUCCCACGCUCUGUAGACAUUUCAGUGGAGAGAAGCUGAGAGAGUGAAUAUGUGACAGAUGCUUGUCACCUUGUUUUGUCCUGGAGGAGCUCAGACAGUCCCAUGACAAAUGUAGCAGUACCUACACAGCAUAGAAAUAGUUCUUGAAUCCUAGUUCUGUGUUUUUGCCAUAUGUCCCUAGUUCUCUCUAAUUCUGUUAAAUGAAAGGCAAGUACAACAGAAGUAAAUACUUAAGUAUUUUCUGCAUGCAAGCUUCUUUCCUGCAAUUUAAAAUAGUAUAACUGUUACAGCAUUACACGUGUAGAUCAUUGUGUCCUGCUGUCAGUUUUGAAUGAUCAGAGAAAAACUAUGAUUGCAGAGCCAAAUUCCCAGAAGUGUUACCAGCUAUUUGAAAUACAAAGCAACAAGCUACCAGAACACAGUCUGUGUUCAUAUGUUUUAUGUUUUGUACAUUCUACUGUGAUACGUGGCUGCAGAAAUUGCUAAUGCGUCAGGGACAGACAUUCAGUCAGGGAAGUGGUAGUGUUUGCAGAAUAUCUUUGAAUUCCUUUGUCUUAUUAUUGCUGGAAUGAUGCUUGUAGGACUGGUAGCCAAGGGUGAGGCCUGCAAGCUGCUCCGUAAUGGCCUGACAGACUGAGCAAGGGACUUUCUGAAAUUCAGAGAAAGUUUCUCAAAGUCUUUUAUGUGGCAAGAAGACAUUACAGGCUUAGAAGGAGAUAACAUCACUUGUUCAGUAGUUCUAAUCUUAAUGAUACAUUUAUAUCUGUUUCUCUGGUUUAGUUUUGCAGGGAAAUAAGUAACUAUAAAUAAUUUAAUUCAAAUAAAAUCAAAUGUAUUCCACUCUUGAUAUAGAAAAAUGCAUGCUUUUCUGUUUUAGCUUCUGCUGAGCCAUUUUUAAGGACUAUUAUAGUUUAUUUUCCAUGUUUGCUAAUUAUUUGGGUUUCAUCUUCAUAGCUUUAUUUUUUUCUCUUAACACAUCUCUUAUUUUUUGAUGAGUAACACAAGAUUUUUCUUUUAAUGUAUGCCUUGAAAUUUUCUCACCAUAUGGGGAUGUUUGCUUUCUCUAGUUCAUUAAAAUCUAUUAAAAAGAAUUCUGUUUGGAGAAGGCAGCAAAGAGAUUUUCUAACACCAAACAAGAAUUAAUUUGCAUUUAGGAUUACAUUAUUGAGCAUCACUUAAUACAAUGUAGCAGUUAAAUUGAGCAUAAAAUACAUGGAAUAUGUUAUACUCUCCAGUUACAUUUUGAGAAAUGGAAACAAAAUCAAAUUUAAGCCAUCUUAAAUAAGGAAAAACAAUACAGCAUCUGUCUUUUUAACUAGUCAGUCUGAUAUCAGUGCAAUGGUCUCACUAGCUCCAGUUUUUGAACCUUCUGAUGAAAUAGAUUGGGAUGUAACUGGAUCUACCAGGUGAUUAUAACCAUAAAGCCAAAAUGACAAAAUCAAUAAUAAUUUCAAAUACAUCUUUGGAAAAGAUACAGAAGAGUACUUAAAAGACAGGGGAGGUCGGGCUCCAGUGAGCAGACAGAAUAGGUAGUGGUUCUGUCUCCAUAUAUUACCAGCAGAGCUGGCAGCAGGGUUGCAUGGUGGUUCCCACUACGAGAUCUUGUUUUUACAAUUUGGCCAGUUUCUCACUGCUUAGGCUGAAUUUUUUCAUGCUGAGAGUUUGCUCUGGCUGAUUUUUAAGUGGAAAUAUAUCAAACCUCUCUGACAUUGAGGUUGGGGGGAAAUGCAUACUGCAGGUUAAAUAGCUUUUCCCAGUGAUACUCUGACAAUCCUGUCCUGUUGACUAAGAGCUUGACAUUUAGGGCUUGUUCUGACAGGAAGGAGUGCUAUUGGUGACUCUACAAAAUAAGCCAUCUUAUUAUGCCUUGAAAAACAUCUUUUGAAACGGACUAAUUAGGGGCACAUGAAAGUUUUUGCAUGGAGGCUGUGUGCCUUGCAUGCAGAAUUCCCGAACUACGCCUUUGGUCCUGCACUGCUUGGGAAUUACUGUGUCCAUGAUGAACAGUAUGUUUUUUGUUGCAGUGGCUGAUUCUAGUUGCUAGAGUAACAUUUUGAGUUACAACCAGAGACUUAACUAAGAAUGAUCCUUGUCUCCCCUGUAC